UAGCGGAGGAAAAGAAACCAACCGGGAUUGCCUUAGUAACGGCGAGUGAAGCGGCAAAAGCUCAAAUUUGAAAUCUGGCACCUUCGGUGUCCGAGUUGUAAUUUGAAGAAGUAACUUUGGGGCUGGUCCUUGUCUAUGUUCCUUGGAACAGGACGUCAUAGAGGGUGAGAAUCCCGUGUGGCGAGGAUCCCAGUUCUUUGUAAAGUGCUUUCGACGAGUCGAGUUGUUUGGGAAUGCAGCUCUAAGUGGGUGGUAAAUUCCAUCUAAAGCUAAAUAUUGGCGAGAGACCGAUAGCGAACAAGUACAGUGAUGGAAAGAUGAAAAGAACUUUGAAAAGAGAGUGAAAAAGUACGUGAAAUUGUUGAAAGGGAAGGGCAUUUGAUCAGACAUGGUGUUUUGCGACCCUCGCUCCUUGUGGGUGGGGAUCUCGCAGCUCACUGGGCCAACAUCGGUUUUGGCGGCAGGAUAAAACUUUGGGAAUGUAACUUGUCUUCGGAGAAGUAUUAUAGCCCAAGGCAAUACUGCCAGCCGGGACCGAGGACUGCGACUUUUGUCAAGGAUGUUGGCAUAAUGGUUAUAUGCCGCCCGUC
RNAcentral lists this ribosomal RNA (590 nucleotides) under Saccharomyces sp. 20-C2-P2D6. RNAcentral's name for it is "eukaryotic LSU rRNA". It matches the Rfam family "Eukaryotic large subunit ribosomal RNA", at positions 48 to 653 of the family's 3401-position model. The record is from RNAcentral. Lineage: Eukaryota; Fungi; Ascomycota; Saccharomycetes; Saccharomycetales; Saccharomycetaceae.